This is a long non-coding RNA of Macrobrachium nipponense, 994 nucleotides long. RefSeq lists it as uncharacterized. The record is from RefSeq and is a predicted model, not a curated record. The transcript is spliced from 3 exons. NCBI's taxonomy places the organism in Eukaryota, Metazoa, Arthropoda, Malacostraca, Decapoda, Palaemonidae.
CAAGACAAGUCAGAUUCCCUCCACUCUUCACGGAGAACACAAGACACCGGUUCUCAUUUUUAACGUGAAUCUUAAUUUCAGUAUUGCUUGAAGUCGUCUGUUGUUUUACAGUAAUGAUUAUUUGAUCAUGAGAUUCAUGUGAGACUUCAAGUUGAUCAUAUCUACUUUCGUAAUUACUGAUGGGCUGGACAUGGGAUUCUUUGCUACGUCCAAGGAAACUGCCGAUCAAGAUGGUAUCAAUUUGAUGACUGUUGAAUGCAUUAUUGAACAUGGAUGGAUUAUUAAACUGACUGAACCAGCACAAGGCAUUCUCUGAGGAUUCGAGGUAUCCGAAGGAUAGGGGGAUUGGUAGCCAGUGCCUAGGAUACCAAACAUCUGGGCGACAUCGUUGUCUUCCAGGGAAUGUACUAAUUCAAGAUGGUUUUUUUCCCCUUGCUGCGAGUGUUACUUCAUUUUGCUUCAGAUUCACCGAAUCGAUGCUUGAACUUUGAGUAUUUCGUAUUUUUUUUUAUCUCUUAUUAUUUUCGAGUGGUAAUUUAUUAACAAAUCAUUUUUGAUGAAUGACCCAAGUCAAUUUUGAGGAACUUGAACAUUUACUGGUGCAAUUCUGGCAGAUUUCAGGUACACGAAAGUUGUUCUAGUUGUCAUAGUACGCCUUCUUGUCUUUAACACCUUUGACAUAUAAAAUAUAGUUAACGAAAUAUUUUCGAUGACCGAUCCACAUCUAUUCAGUGAUGGCUAGUUCGUACUUGGUUUGAGGCUCGGGGCUUACAGUAUAUUAAUUUCAGGGCGCCGUGACGUAUGUCCUUCCUGGGACUGCCAACUGAAAAGGACUGGCGUGACCGGGUUACAUCUAACGCUGAAGAAAAAAAUUAAAAUAUUUCCGUAUCGUUAAUUCUUGUUCAAGCUUUCGAGACCUGAGAUUUCGUUUGAAUUAACGACUCCAAAGGCUGCAUCAAGAUUUAACAACGUUCAUAUCGACGACGAUUUGAAU